GCCAGCAUGGUAUAGUGAUUCAAUUGUUAGAUUACAACUCUGGAGACCAGGGUUCAAAUCCCUGCUCAGGCA
Non-coding RNA from Phrynosoma platyrhinos (Desert horned lizard), 72 nucleotides. The record is from the annotation of a GenBank genome assembly. Lineage: Eukaryota; Metazoa; Chordata; Lepidosauria; Squamata; Phrynosomatidae.